AGGGUGCAGGGCGGAUGCCUUGGCACUAGGAGCCGAUGAAGGACGUGAUAAGCUGCGAUAAGCUUCGGGGAGUUGCACGUAAACUUUGAUCCGAAGAUUUCCGAAUGAGGAAACUCACUUAGAGUAAUGUCUAAGUAUCAUUAAGUGAAUACAUAGCUUAAUGAGGGGAACUCAGGGAACUGAAACAUCUAAGUACCUGAAGGAAGAGAAAGAAAUUCGAUUCCGUAAGUAGCGGCGAGCGAACGCGGAUUAGCCCAAACCAAUAAAGUUUUCUUUAUUGGGGUUGCGGACAUAUCAUAACGAAGAGGUAUCGUAAUUGAAGAGGUUUGGAAAGACCCACCACAGAAGGUAAUAGUCCUGUAUGUUAAACGAGAAGACUUCAGAUAUGAUCCAGAGUACCACGGGACACGUGAAACCCUGUGGGAAGCAGGAGGGACCACCCUCCAAGGCUAAAUACUACCUAGUGACCGAUAGCGUAUAGUACCGUGAGGGAAAGGUGAAAAGAACCCCGGGAGGGGAGUGAAAUAGAACCUGAAACCCUGCACUUACAAGCUGUGGAAGCACAUUUCUUGUGUGACCGCGUACUUUUUGUAGAACGGGCCAACGAGUUACGUUAAGUAGCAAGGUUAAGCACUUAAGGUGUGGAGCCGUAGCGAAAGCGAGUUUUAACUGAGCGUUCAGUUACUUGACGUAGACCCGAAACCGGGCGACCUACCCAUGAGCAGGAUGAAGCGAAAGUAAAAUUUCGUGGAGGUCCGAACCCACGAGCGUUGAAAAGCUCGGGGAUGACUUGUGGGUAGCGGUGAAAUUCCAAUCGAGCCCGGAGAUAGCUGGUUCUCCCCGAAAUAGCUUUAGGGCUAGCCUCAAGGUGAGAGAUACGGAGGUAGAGCACUGAAUGUCCUAGGGGGUAUUGCACCUACCGAAGACUAUCAAACUCCGAAUGCCGUCAUCUUAUACUUGGGAGUCAGACUGUGGGUGAUAAGAUUCAUAGUCGAAAGGGCAACAGCCCAGAUCGUCAGCUAAGGUCCCUAAAUGUAAGUUAAGUGGUAAAGGAUGUGGGAUUGCACAGACAACCAGGAUGUUGGCUUAGAAGCAGCCACUCAUUCAAAGAGUGCGUAAUAGCUCACUGGUCGAGUGAUCCUGCGCCGAAGAUUUCCGGGGCUAAAACUUACUACCGAAGCUACGGCAUCAGUAAUGAUGGGUAGGGGAGCUUCCCAUACGGGUUGAAGCAUGACCGUAAGGACAUGUGGACAGUAUGGGAGUGAGAAUGUUGGCAUGAGUAGCGAGAUGUGGGUGAGAAUCCCACAGGCCGUAAACCCAAGGUUUCCAGGGGAAGGUUCGUCCGCCCUGGGUUAGUCGGGACCUAAGCUGAGGCCGAAAGGCGUAGGUGAUGGACAACAGGUUGAUAUUCCUGUACUACCGAUAACCGUUUGAGAGAAGGGAUGACACAGUAGGAUAAGCUAAGCACACUGUUGGUUAUGUGUGCCCAAGCAUUGAGGCAGUCAAAGUAGGCAAAUCCGCUUUGAUAAUGCUGGGAUGUGAUGGGGAGCGAAAUUUAGUAGCGAAGUAGCUGAUUUCACACUGUCAAGAAAAGUCUCUAUCGAGGUUAAAGGUACCCGUACCGCAAACCGACACAGGUGGGUGAGGAGAGUAUCCUAAGGCCAGCGAGAGAACUGUUGUUAAGGAACUCGGCAAAAUGACCCCGUAACUUAGGGAUAAGGGGUGCCACCAUCAGGUGGCCGCAGAGAAUAGGCCCAAGCGACUGUUUACCAAAAACAUAGGUUUCUGCUAAGUCGCAAGACGAUGUAUAGGAGCUGACGCCUGCCCGGUGCUGGAAGGUUAAGGGGAUCUGUUAGAGCAAUCGAAGCAGUGAACUUAAGCCCCAGUAAACGGCGGCCGUAACUAUAACGGUCCUAAGGUAGCGAAAUUCCUUGUCGGGUAAGUUCCGACCCGCACGAAAGGCGUAACGAUUUGGGCACUGUCUCAACAACAGACUCGGUGAAAUUGUAAUUCCGGUGAAGAUGCCGGAUACCUGCGACAGGACGGAAAGACCCCAUGGAGCUUUACUGUAGCUUGACAUUGGGUUUUGGUACUACAUGUACAGGAUAGGUGGGAGGCUUUGAAACCAGGACGCCAGUUUUGGCGGAGCCAUCCUUGGGAUACCACCCUUGUAGUACUGGGACUCUAACCAUAGGCCAUGAAUCUGGUCUUGGGACACUGUCAGGUGGGCAGUUUGACUGGGGCGGUCGCCUCCCAAAAGGUAACGGAGGCGCUCAAAGGUUCUCUCAGUACGGUCGGAAAUCGUACGUAGAGUGUAAAGGCAAAAGAGAGCUUGAUUGCAAGACAUACAGGUCGAGCAAGGAUGAAAAUCGGACUUAGUGAUCCGGUGGUUCUGCGUGGAAGGGCCAUCGCUCAACGGAUAAAAGCUACCCUGGGGAUAACAGGCUUAUCUCCCCCAAGAGUCCACAUCGACGGGGAGGUUUGGCACCUCGAUGUCGGCUCAUCACAUCCUGGGGCUGUAGUAGGUCCCAAGGGUUGGGCUGUUCGCCCAUUAAAGUGGUACGCGAGCUGGG
RNAcentral lists this ribosomal RNA (2573 nucleotides) under Clostridioides difficile. RNAcentral describes it as "bacterial LSU rRNA". It matches the Rfam family "Bacterial large subunit ribosomal RNA", at positions 14 to 2609 of the family's 2925-position model. Lineage: Bacteria; Bacillati; Bacillota; Clostridia; Peptostreptococcales; Peptostreptococcaceae. The record is from RNAcentral.